UUCUUCCAUAAGUACAGUGUUGGUUUUUCUGGGUUUUCUGUUUCUCCAUAUAAAUUUUAAAAUAAUUUUGCUGAUAUCUACAAAAUAACUUGCUGGGAUGUUGACUGGAAAUGUAUAGAUCAACUUGGAAAGAACUGAUAUCUUGACAAUAUUAAGUCUUCCUAUCCAUGAACAUGGAAUAGCUCUUUAUAUAUUUAGUUCUUUCAUUUCAUUCAUUGAAAUUUUAUAGUUUUCCUCAUAUAGAUCUUAUACAUUUUUGUUAGAUUUAUACCUAAUUAUUUCAUUUUCUGGGGUGCUAAUGUAAAUGGUAUUUUGUUUUCAACUUCAAAUCCCACUUUUUCAUUGCUGAUAUAUAGGAAAAUGAUUGACUUUUGUAUAUUAACUUUGGGUUCUAUAAUCUUGCUGCAGUGGCCUAGUAGUUUUAGGAAGGGCUUUUUUGUUGUUGAUUCUUUCAGAUUUUCUAUAGACAAUCAUGUCAUAUACAAACAAAGACAACUUUAUUUCUUCCUUCUCAAUCUGUAUACCUUUUACUUCAUUUACUUGUCUUAUUGCAUUAGCUAGGACUCCCAGUAUUAUGUUGAAAAGGUAUGAAGAGAAAGGACAUCCUUUCCUUGUUUCUGAUCUUAGAAGGAAAGCUUUAAGUAUGUUAUUAACUGUAAGGUUUUUUUUAAGAAGUCCUUUAUCAUGUUCAGGCAGUUCCCCUCUAAUCCUAAUUUACUAAGAGUUUUUAUUAUGAGUGAUUAAAUUUUAUCAAAUGCUGUUUCUGCAUCUAUUGAUAGAUCAUGUGAUUUUUGUUAGCUUGUUGAUUGCUUUUUAAAUUGGUUUUCAUAUGCAGAAGCAGCUUAGCACAUCUGGGGGGAAUCUCACUUGGUCAUGGUAUAUAAUUCUUUUCAUAUAUUGUUGAAUUCAAUAUUUUGUUGAGGAUUUUCACAUCUAUGUUCAUGUGAGAUACUGGUCUAUAGUUUUCUUAUAAUAUUUUUGUUUGGUUUUGGUACUAAGGUAAUACUGGUCACAUAAAAUGAGUUAGGAAGAUUCUGUUGUAUUCUGUUGUCUAGGAGAGAUUAUACAGAAUUGGUAUAAUUUGUUCCUUAAAUGUUUGGUAGAAUUCAUCUGUUUUGGAAGGUUAUUAAUUAUUGAUUCAACUUCUUCAAUAAAUAGGCCCAUUAGGAUGGUUUACUUGUAUUUUUUGUUUGUUUGCUUUUAGUUUUUUUCCUGAAUAAAGGUAGUUGAGUUCAUGGAAAUUAAAUGUAUAUGGGCUGUGACUUCCCUGGAAAUAAAGUGUUGGUGCUUUAGUAUGGUUCAGAUGCUGGGGUGGCUCAGCUGGCUUAAGCCCAGUUACUGGACAGUACCUCCAGGAUUCUAUGAGGGUGAAGCUGAGCUCCUCCAAGGUCUCCUCCAUCUCCUGUGUGUUCUGGAUCAAUGAGAGAUUCUGCUCUUCCAGCUUUGUGAAGACAUCCAGGAGUUGCUGGGGCUCUGUGAAGUACAGCUCCAGUUCCUGCAACAAGUUGUGUGUGUGUGUGUGUGAGUGUGUGUGUGUGUGUGUGUGUAAGAGUCAGAGGGCACCAGCUCCCUCAGGCCUUGCCAGGAAUGGGGCCACCGACCUCACAAUCACUGUCUGGGUCCUCUUGCACAGGGAGGGCAGAGCUGGACCUGUGGAGAGAUGUGGGUUCAGGGCACCAGGUCCCAGCCUGUGAUAUACUCCACCCCAGGGGUAUAGAAUCCUGGCAUUUUCACAGCAUUUCUCCACCCUCAAACCCCUUGUCCUCCUUGUCCAUUGCACAGGUUGCCCAGGUGGUGGCAUCAGCUUCCUCUUGGUUCCUCAACUGUCACACAGCAACCAGGUAGAUAGUUUUAAAUUCAACUAACUCAUCGCACUCGUUAGAAUAAAGGUUGGCCUCCACCUGGGAGCUGUGGGGACCUUGCUGCCCUCCCUACCCUUGCCUCCCCCACUGCCCAAGGUUACUCUGCUCCUGCCGUGCAAGCUCCAUAGCUGUCUCUCCAGGAGCCAACCCUGCCUCAAGGCCUUGACACCUGCGGCUCCCACUGUGGAGACUGCCCCUCUCCAUUUGCCAUUCUUUUUUAAAAGCCACUUUCAGGUCCUCUUGUGCCCAUCUCUCUUAUUUAGGUAUGUUCUUGACUUGUCCUUGAUGGCCCUCAUAGCUGUCCUGUGACACAGUUGCCUUCAACCAACCCUGAGCACUCCGCAGGGGCAGAGACCAUCCUGGGCCAGCCCACAUAAGUGCGGGAAAGGCUGUGCAGGCUUAGAGCCCUCAGUGUGGGUCCCUGGAAGGCUCUGCUGGAUGGGGGCCCAAUCUUGCCUGACGUCUUUCAUCACCCAUUCUCACCUGCUGCAGCCUUGGCCCCCACCCAGGAUUACAGGUUCUGCUGGCUGAAGAAUGGCCAGAGGAAACUGGGCUGAGAUCUGAGAGACUCCAGGCCCUGACCUGCCUACAGUGGAGAGGUGAAAACUGCAGGGCCUUGUGGGAGAGGAUACUAAGCACUCUCUGGGCCUGCCCCUCACAUCGUGUAUACAUCAAUGCCCAUUUGGCAAAUGAGGAACAUGCAGCUCUGAGAUCUAGUCACCUGCCCAAGGUCACCUGCAGGACAUUGUUGGCACAUAAGGUAUGUUUUUAAGAAUCUGGACACAAUGUAGGCAACCUCUACUGGCAUGCUAUAUUAAAUACCUUUUAGAGCUGAAUAAAAUACUAGAAAAACUCAUAAAAAAGGGACACAGCCUGGGGUGUGGAUGGGACUUUAGUGUCCACUCAACCUCUUGGCUAAACACCUUGUGAAUCAUACCCUGCCCAACUGUAGACAGAGGCCUGGUUACAUGGCUAAUAGAUGGAGAGGCCCAGAUGCAAACCCAGGACAGAGUGAUCCCACACCUCUAUUCUCAGGGACUCUCCCAACACAAGACCUUACAGUGGUAGCUCUAGGGCUGAGGGGUAACCUAGGCAGAGGAAACAUGCAUGCAUGUCUAACCUCUUGGAGCCUCCAUCCAAAACAGAACUGGAAAUAGCAGCUCCUACUGGCAGGGGUUGCAGGGAUCAGAGUAAAUAAACCAUGGUAUGUGCCUGGCCCACAAAUGGUGGCUACUCGUCUCCAUAAGGCAUGACCAUGAUUCAUAAAGAUGAACAUGAGCUUGCAAAUUGGUAGCACUUGGGUCACCUUCCAGCUGGAGAGGUAUCAGUUUGGGAUAUGGGAGAUUGAGUGUAGAGAAUAUCUAAGGGGGGAAUGCCCAUGGGGGCCUGGAGCUCAGCAAACAGUGGGAGGCAGAACCAUGGGAGGGGUGGCCAAUCCACUGUAAAGAAGAGAGGACAGAGAACAGGGUACAUAAAGGGAUGAGCAGAAGAUACAGACCCUGAGAAGCACAGUGAAGAGGAGGUUCUUGAGCUCUUGGGCUACCCAUUCUCCCUAUCCUCACUACCACCACCCUCAUCCAAGCUGAUAAACCAUGAAGCUUCCAGAAGAAAGCAUAGAAGACUAUUUUAGUGACUUUGGGGUUGGCAGAGGUUUCUUAAGUAGGACACAAAAUGCACCAAUCAUAAAAGCAAAGAUUGGUAAACUGGACUCAAAAGAUAACAUUAAGAGUAAUAAGAGAGACUAGACGAAGAUACUUACACUAGACUUACUACAUAAAGGACUGGCAUGCAGAAUAUACAAAGUAAUAGAAAACCAGAAGAGAAAGGCCAGCAGUCCAAUAAAAAUGUACAAAAAUUGAACACAUACUUCACAAAGGAGGAUAUCUGAAUAGCUAUUGUAUUUCUCCUCAUGAAAAUGUCAUUAAAAUCAAGAUAUAUCACCUCACCCCUGUAUUAACUCUAUCUUUGAUUUUCUGUAUUCUGAUAUUUUGACAUCUGAGGCCAUGCUGACUGGAGGGAUGAACACCCUUGAAUGUGCUUUUCAAAUGCAAAGCAACCGAUCCAGUGCUCCUGUCCCAAGCUCUCACACUGGAGGCAUUAUUUCCCUGCUUCAUUACCAGGGCCAAGUACCAGACAAUCAGGGGUAGCCAGUGUGUCCCAGAGGCCUGAAUUUAUUCAAACCAGCCAAUUUAAAUCCACUUAACCUGCCUCACCUAUUCCCUCCUGCAGAAACCACAGUAACGGCUCCUAUUCACAGUU
Phyllostomus discolor (pale spear-nosed bat) is the source of this 4121-nucleotide long non-coding RNA. RefSeq lists it as uncharacterized. The transcript has 2 exons. NCBI's taxonomy places the organism in Eukaryota, Metazoa, Chordata, Mammalia, Chiroptera, Phyllostomidae. The record is from RefSeq and is a predicted model, not a curated record.